Long non-coding RNA from Sitophilus oryzae (rice weevil), 2416 nucleotides. RefSeq lists it as uncharacterized. The record is from RefSeq and is a predicted model, not a curated record. Lineage: Eukaryota; Metazoa; Arthropoda; Insecta; Coleoptera; Curculionidae. The transcript is spliced from 4 exons.
CGUUAUGUCGUUCUUAUAAUAUUUUGGAUUUUUUGAUAAAAAAAUUAAUUUUUCUGUACAGUAUUUGAGUGUAUUCUGUUCCUUAAGACUUCUUGAACCUCUUGAAAAUGAGCGUUUUUAGUAAUACACCAGCACCUAAAGAACAUCUAAAAGAAGAGACUUGUGGCACCCCUUGUAUAAUCCUGAUGUUUGGUCAUCAUUCUGGUUUACGAGUUGCUCUUCCAUUAUCUGAUUUAAAAUUUUCUACAACAAAUCCAUGAAUGUAUACAGUUCCAGGGUAGUACAUUUAUCCUUUAGAUGAAUAUUACCAUCAACAAUGCAUCGAGAUUAAUAAGUAUAUCUAAAAUUUAAUUUUUUUGAGUAAACACAUAUAUUUGUACUGGUCUUUAAUGUUCAUCAGUGGAUUUCAUCAUUUUUAAAUAUAAUUAUGUGGGAAAAAAAUCUAAUGAGUCCUUGAGCAAUCUUUUUAUUGUUUAUUCUUAACACAGAUAAAUUCUGACCAUCUAUUCUUAAUUUGUGCCAAUUUUUGGCUAUUUGUCAUUUCUUUUUUCGCAUAUUGUUUUUCUAGUUUGACUCCCAUAUUUUAUUCAUUGUGGGAAAAAUAUCACCAUUUAUUGAUUCUAUAAUAUAUUUCAUUGACUGUAUUUCUGUAAGUAUUAUUUUAUUUGUAUUAAUAUUCUUAUGGUGUCAUUCUUCUAAUGCUUUUUACUUGUGUAAUAUCGUGCACAAAAUUCUAGUUUUGAUGGAUUCAUUUUCAUGUCAUUUAUUCCAGAUCAUUUGUCAUGAAUUGCUGUAAUUUUACAGAUUCUUUUGGUUUCGUUUGCCCGUGUUUAUAUAUAAUUUAAACACACUUUAAAAACUUAAAAUAAGGACUAAUUUCUUAUCAAUUCCUGGCGCGUUCGCCAUUUAUUCAAAAAACUGACUCGUCCACAUAAUUCACUUCUAAUUUUUCUAGCAUUUUUUCCAAUGAAUUUUCCUGAGUAACAUCGACUCCAGAGCAUUAUAACUAGCCUCCCCGAAGAAGAGGAGACCUGGGUCACCCCCUAACCCUGAUGUUUGGGCAUCGAUGACCUGUGUAGCAUGCAGAGGUACCCAAGGGAGUCACCACCCUCUGGUUUACGAGCUAGGUGUUCUAACGCUAGAGGCUUCGGCCGGAUACGACCUGGCACCCAAGCUCCGAGACUUCUUCGUGCACGUAUUCCGUGACCCUCGAAGAGGCAGGGGGCGGGAUAUCGGACACAUUGAAGAUGAUGAGGGUGGUCCGCCUGUAGGGGGUCCCGGUGGAUGUCCGCUCGAUGGGUGACGAGGGUGACCCGAGACGAGGCUGCUUAGCUGGGAUGGGAACUGACUGGCGAGGCUUAAUCGUCGGAAAAGGGUUAAAUCUGAUGCAGGGUGGCGAACUUAUAUGCUCUGGAGAAUUUUUCCUUAUGUGCUUGAUGUCAUAUUUUGACUAGAUAUUUUUUAGAUGAGGCUAAGCAUAAUAUUUGGUCAAUUUUCCAGUUCUUAAAGACCAUAUACUUCUUUAUUUUUUUCUCUUACUUAUGGCCUACCUCUAUUUCAUUAUUUUUGUAUCCUACAUUUUCUUUAUUAUUGGAAUAUAUAUUCAUCAAUUCUAUAAACUCUUUUACUAUAUGUCUCCCAUAUUUUCUUCCUUGUGGGAAUGUCAUCAUUUUAUCUAUUCUAUAAACUCUUCCAUUGAUUGUAUUUUUUGUGUCAUUCUUCUGAGACUUUUUUUAAGUUCAUCGCACAUUUUUAUACAAUUUUUUUCAAUGCCACAUAGCUCUAUUUCUUAAUUUGUUUCUUCCAUGAACUCUUCUAUUGAUAUUUGUAUUUCUGAGUUAUCAGCCAUUAUUUUCUUGUAUUAUUUUUAAAAUAAAAAUACUGUAUCAUUCCGUGUCAAGUCUUAUCUAUGACAUUUUUUCAAAUCAUCAUACCCAUACAGAGUAAAACAAUUUAAUUUUUCUUAAAUGGAAUUUCUUAUUUUUCUUCUAUAUUGCUUGUAUUUCUAAAUAUCUUCUUUUAUGUGUAUUAUUGUUUAUAUUACUGCUAUUCUCCUGACUUAUAACUCUUUAUUUCAUUUCUAUUGAUGCCUACAUAGAAUUAUCUAGUUUUGGAUUUAUUUUCUAAUAAAUUUUCAUUUCAUUCCUUUUAAAAUUGAGUUUUUGAAUGGGAUAUUGUCCUGCUUUGGAACAAGGAUUUUUCGGGACAGCUGCACUUCAACAGCCUCCUUCAAAAUGCCAUUAGGAUGAUUAAAUUCCACAUUCAACAGUGGAUUGAGAAUGAAAUUCAUCAUUGAAGAGGAAGCUAAAUAAUAUGGAACCAAGACUUUCCAGAAGGAUAGUCAGAAGAUUUAUUUACCUCAACAUACACAUGAGCAUGUCCAUCGCCACCUUGGAUUAUAUUUUUUAAGUUACCC